RNAcentral lists this ribosomal RNA (300 nucleotides) under Stromatopelma calceatum. Its description in RNAcentral is "partial 12S ribosomal RNA". Lineage: Eukaryota; Metazoa; Arthropoda; Arachnida; Araneae; Theraphosidae. The record is from RNAcentral.
AAUCUUACUCUUUUUUAAAGUCUUUAUAUCGCUGUCUUAAAAUUCUAAUUUGAUUUUGAAUUUUCAAAGAUAAUUCUUCUACGUCAAGUCGAGAUAAAACCUAUAAAAGAGAGACCCGAGUUACUUAUACUUUUAUUUAUUAAUAUUAUUUUUUACAAUCUUAUUUUUAGAAUUUAAUAGUAAAAUUUUAAUAGUAUUUGAAUUUGAAAAAGCUUUCAAGGUGUACAUAUCGCCCGUCACCCUCGUCUAAAGAUGAGGUAAGUCGUAACACAGUUAAUGUACUGGAAAGUGCAUUAAGGG